GAGUUUGAUCGUGGCUCAGGAUGAACGCUGGCGGCAUGCCUAACACAUGCAAGUCGAACGGAGACUAACGCUGAUUUGAUGAUAGCUUGCUAUUGGAUUUUCUUGUUAGUCUUAGUGGCGGACGGGUGAGUAACACGUGAGCAACCUGCCUUUCAGAGGGGGAUAACGGCUGGAAACGGUCGCUAAUACCGCAUAACAUAUUCGAGUGGCAUCACUUGAAUAUCAAAGGAGCAAUCCGCUGAAAGAUGGGCUCGCGUCUGAUUAGAUAGUUGGUGGGGUAACGGCCUACCAAGUCGACGAUCAGUAGCCGGACUGAGAGGUUGAACGGCCACAUUGGGACUGAGAUACGGCCCAGACUCCUACGGGAGGCAGCAGUGGGGAAUAUUGCACAAUGGGGGAAACCCUGAUGCAGCAACGCCGCGU
RNAcentral lists this ribosomal RNA (423 nucleotides) under uncultured bacterium. RNAcentral describes it as "bacterial SSU rRNA". It matches the Rfam family "Bacterial small subunit ribosomal RNA", at positions 9 to 402 of the family's 1533-position model. The record is from RNAcentral.